UGUUCCUACGGGGCGCAGCAGUGGGGAAUAUUGGGCAAUGGGCGCAAGCCUGACCCAGCAACGCCGCGUGAAGGAAGAAGGCUUUCGGGUUGUAAACUUCUUUUGUCAGGGACGAAGCAAGUGACGGUACCUGACGAAUAAGCCACGGCUAACUACGUGCCAGCAGCCGCGGUAAUACGUAGGUGGCAAGCGUUAUCCGGAUUUACUGGGUGUAAAGGGCGUGUAGGCGGGGAAGCAAGUCAGAUGUGAAAACCACGGGCUCAACCUGUGGCCUGCAUUUGAAACUGUUUUUCU
RNAcentral lists this ribosomal RNA (294 nucleotides) under uncultured bacterium. Its description in RNAcentral is "partial 16S ribosomal RNA". It matches the Rfam family "Bacterial small subunit ribosomal RNA", at positions 334 to 642 of the family's 1533-position model. The record is from RNAcentral.